Molecule: ribosomal RNA, 368 nt
Filed under: Trinemura sp. WAM-ZYGS002-A
Lineage: Eukaryota; Metazoa; Arthropoda; Insecta; Zygentoma; Nicoletiidae
Description: Trinemura sp. WAM ZYGS002-A partial small subunit ribosomal RNA
Source: RNAcentral
AGAUACCCUAUUAUUAGCAGCAUAAAUAGGUGACUUAGGUAUUAAUUGGUGUUCAUGAAACCUAGAGAAUUUGGCGGUGCCCUAGUCUUUUUAGAGGAACCUGUCCUAUGAUCGAUAAUCCACGUUGUUAUUACCUACCUUGGUUAUCAGUUUGUAUAUCGCCGUCAGAAGGGAAUUUUUUGAGAAUAAUAAUUCUUUUGAUAUUGAGGGGUAAGAUGACAGGUCAAGGUGCAGCUAAUGGGUAGGGAGGAGAUGGGUUACAAUAUGUGAAAUGUAUAUGGAUUCUUGCGUAGAGGUGGGAUGAAGGUGGAUUUAAGAGUAAUUCUUACGAACUGGGGGUGAAGGUGGCUCUAGGGUGUGCACAUAUC